RNAcentral lists this ribosomal RNA (531 nucleotides) under Lenzites betulinus. RNAcentral describes it as "eukaryotic LSU rRNA". The stretch from base 161 to 314 matches the Rfam family "5.8S ribosomal RNA". The record is from RNAcentral. Lineage: Eukaryota; Fungi; Basidiomycota; Agaricomycetes; Polyporales; Polyporaceae.
AGGCAUGUGCACGCCCUGCUCAUCCCACUCUACACCUGUGCACUUACUGUAGGUCGGCGUGGGUUUCUAGCCUCCGGGUUUGAAGCAUUCUGCUGGCCUAUGUACAUUUAUAAACACUUUAAAGUAACAGAAUGUAAACGCGUCUAACGCAUUUUAAUACAACUUUCAGCAACGGAUCUCUUGGCUCUCGCAUCGAUGAAGAACGCAGCGAAAUGCGAUAAGUAAUGUGAAUUGCAGAAUUCAGUGAAUCAUCGAAUCUUUGAACGCACCUUGCGCUCCUUGGUAUUCCGAGGAGCAUGCCUGUUUGAGUGUCAUGGAAUUCUCAACCCAUAAAUCCUUGUGAUGUAUGGGCUUGGAUUUGGAGGCUUGCUGGUCCCUUUCGGAUCGGCUCCUCUUGAAUAUAUUAGCUUGAUUCCGUGCGGAUCGGCUCUCAGUGUGAUAAUUAUCUACGCUGUGACCGUGAAGCGUUUGGCGAGCUUCUAACCGUCCUUUUUGGACAAACCUUAUGACAUCUGACCUCAAAUCAGGUAG